AUCUUUGCAUCGUAGUCUCUCUCCGUAUCGCUAUCGUCUUUCUCUAUCUAUUUGUUCUGUCCUCUCUUUUUUGUAUCCCAUUUCUUUUUUUUUAUUCUCAUAUUUAUAAUAGAAAGGGAGAUCUGAGGAAUCAGAGCGAUUCGUGGGUUAGGCCAGAGAUAUUUUGAGGAGUCCGUUAGGGGUUCGAAAUUCGAAAUCGAAUUUUGAAACGGUUGUUGGAGGAAUAAAUAUUCGAAAUUCGAAUGAAUGUGGUUGGUUGGGAGAUAUUUUGGGAGUUGGUUGGUUGGUUGGGAGUUGGUUGUGGUUUGUUGAGAGAUAUUUUGAGAGUUGGAUGUGGUUGGUUAGGAGAUAUCUUCGGAGUUGGUUGGUUGGUUGGGAAAUAUUUUGGAAGAUGGUUGAGAAUUUGAAAUCGAAUUUCGAAUGGGGUUGUUAGGAUAACAGAUAUUUUCUAGGGUGUGGAUAUGGGCCAUCAUUGAUUGGGUCCACUUUAAUGAAAUUUGUUGGGCACA
Molecule: long non-coding RNA, 509 nt
Filed under: Ananas comosus (pineapple)
Lineage: Eukaryota; Viridiplantae; Streptophyta; Magnoliopsida; Poales; Bromeliaceae
Description: long non-coding RNA (ACOM_LNC043579)
Source: RNAcentral